CAAGGCAGCUGUCUCAAGCGC
Molecule: unclassified non-coding RNA, 21 nt
Filed under: Chlamydomonas reinhardtii
Lineage: Eukaryota; Viridiplantae; Chlorophyta; Chlorophyceae; Chlamydomonadales; Chlamydomonadaceae
Description: small RNA Cre_0853
Source: RNAcentral